This 246-nucleotide ribosomal RNA is filed under the name uncultured Mucilaginibacter sp. RNAcentral describes it as "partial 16S ribosomal RNA". It matches the Rfam family "Bacterial small subunit ribosomal RNA", at positions 1 to 250 of the family's 1533-position model. Lineage: Bacteria; Pseudomonadati; Bacteroidota; Sphingobacteriia; Sphingobacteriales; Sphingobacteriaceae. The record is from RNAcentral.
AGCUGAGUUUGAUCCUGGCUCAGGAUGAACGCUAGCGGCAGGCCUAAUACAUGCAAGUCGGACGGGAUUGGAGAGCUUGCUUUCCAUGAGAGUGGCGCACGGGUGCGUAACACGUAUGUAACCUACCGUUGUCAGGGGGAUAGCCUCUCGAAAGAGAGAUUAAGACCGCAUAAAAUCAUAGAGUAGCAUUACUUAAUGAUCAAAUAUUUAUAGGACAACGAUGGGCAUGCGGGACAUUAGCUAGAU